UCCCUCAGUAAUGGCGAAUGAACAGGGAUGAGCUCAGUAUGGAAAUUGGGGCCUGUGGCCUUGAAUUGUAGUCUGGAGAUGUACUACCAACUGGGGCGCAGAUGUAAGCCUCUUGGAAAAGAGCAUCAAUGAGGGUGAGAGUCCCGCUUGGCAUCUGCAGUCCCCAGUGCACGGUGUACCUUCUAAGAGUCACGUUCCUCGGGAUUGGAGCGCAAAUUGGGUGGUAAAUUUCAUCUAAAGCUAAAUAUUGUUUCGAGACCGAUAGCAAACAAGUACCAUGAGGGAAAGGUGAAAAGGACUUUGAAAAGAGAGUUAAAAGUGCCUGAAAUUGCUGAAAGGGAAGCGAAUGGAACCAGCGUAACUUGGUGAGAUUGCUGCGUAUCAAUGUGAUUGCUUGCUGCUUCAACGUAAGUGUGGUAGUAAGUCUUGAACAGGACAUGCGUGGUGUUUCUUGCCUUGUGUGUCACUGCCAGUUCACAGCUGGGGAAAACUUCAGGGGCAUGGUAGCUUGUCUCCGGAUGGGUGAACGUGUCUGCUGGAACUCAUUUGUGGACUGAUUGGUGACUAAAUGGUUCCAUCUGACCCGUCUUGAAAC
RNAcentral lists this ribosomal RNA (595 nucleotides) under Scrippsiella acuminata. Its description in RNAcentral is "partial large subunit ribosomal RNA". It matches the Rfam family "Eukaryotic large subunit ribosomal RNA", at positions 76 to 660 of the family's 3401-position model. The record is from RNAcentral. Lineage: Eukaryota; Dinophyceae; Peridiniales; Peridiniaceae.